This is an RNA transcript of Ctenocephalides felis (cat flea), 1313 nucleotides long. RefSeq lists it as uncharacterized. The record is from RefSeq and is a predicted model, not a curated record. NCBI's taxonomy places the organism in Eukaryota, Metazoa, Arthropoda, Insecta, Siphonaptera, Pulicidae. The transcript has 7 exons.
AUUCGGGUUGAGUGUCAUGUGCGGUAUGGCUUUGCUGCACCAUGUUGUGCAUUACGUACUGUGUGAUUUGCUGAUUUUACUUCGAGAGUACUUGGAAGUACCUGAGCUCAAUUUCGAUUUGAAUUCGGGUUAAGUGUCACGUAGUGUCAUGUGCGGUAUGGCUUUGCUGUUCGAUGUCUUGAAUUACGUGCUGAACAUUGAUUUCAAUGUGCUCCUGCCACUGCACUAAAAAGGUCUCUAAAAAAGAUGAAGUUCUCGGGUUGCGGAAAAAGGAAAAUGAACGCUAUUCAUAAGGAAUAUUAUAGAACUCGCUAUAGAAACUUCAAGAGGAUAAUGUCAAUUCCAUAUAAUAACAAAAUUAUGAAUAUCAAUAGAAGUAGCAAGAGAAAAACUUUACCAUAAAGCAGAUAAUCUGAAUAAUAUCAAUGAAAAUAAGUUAAAUAAGAGAUGAUAUUGCAGGUAUACUGUGAAAUAUCAAACCGGAUAAUUGAGAUUUAAUAUUAUAUUUAAUCUCUUCCUUUAUGUGAUCGUUAUCCAAGGAAUAUCAAAAUGAAAUUACCACAUUACCAUAAUCGGCUGGUGUGUAUAAAUAACAAGUAUGGUUAACCGUAAAUGAACUAAUGUCAGCUGCAAUUGCCUUCCAAUUUUAAAACUAUCUUUCGAAAUAAUAGUUGUGCAUUCGUGCAUUUAUUUUCGCUAUUUUUAAUGCUUAUUUAUGAAACAUUUAGUAUUUUAUGUGUGGUGUAGUGUAGUGUAGUGUAGUGUAGUUUUUUUUUUGUGUAGUGUAGUUUAGUGAAUAGCACAUAAAGUUGCAGCUAAAAUUUCUUAUGGAAAAUACGAUGUUAGAUGAUUUGAUUUGAAAACGAGUCGAUAUUUGCAGCAAUUGAUUUCGGAUGGAAAAACUGAUGGUCAGUUAUCCGAAGGUUCUGAUCAUCAACAGAAGACAUAUGACGUCCAAAAUGAAAAUGAUUAUAUUGAGGAACUUAAUAGCGCAUGUGAAGAAAUUCUUACAAGUAUAGAAUAUGAAGACGAGCAAGAGAUAAAACUUUACAGAUGUCGUAUUAAGUCAUGUACAUUUAGUACAACAGAUAAUGAAUCUCUAAAAUUUCAUAUCAAAUAUUUUUGUCCGUUCAAAGAAUAUUCUUGUAUUUAUUGUACCAAGAAAUUCAAAUCAUUUAAGGAUUUGUCAAUGCAUAAAUAUAAGGCUCACAUGAUGGAAAUCGUUCCUGAAGAUUCAUGGCCCGACAUCAAUUAAUGACGAUUGCAUUUUUGUAAGAUUUUUAAAAAGUAUGUAAGCUUUUUGUAAAUCAAAA